AAGGAUAUGGUGAAAUGGUAGACACGCAAGAUUUAGGUCCUUGUGGCAAGAAUAUUGCUGUAAGGGUUCAAGUCCCUUUAUCCGAA
This 86-nucleotide transfer RNA is filed under the name Niabella sp. Its description in RNAcentral is "tRNA-Leu". It matches the Rfam family "tRNA". Rfam says of the family: Transfer RNA (tRNA) molecules are approximately 80 nucleotides in length. Their secondary structure includes four short double-helical elements and three loops (D, anti-codon, and T loops). The record is from RNAcentral. Lineage: Bacteria; Pseudomonadati; Bacteroidota; Chitinophagia; Chitinophagales; Chitinophagaceae.